This is an RNA transcript of Neoarius graeffei (lesser salmon catfish), 7343 nucleotides long. It is a transcript of the gene named transmembrane protein 241, with no coding region annotated. Lineage: Eukaryota; Metazoa; Chordata; Actinopteri; Siluriformes; Ariidae. The transcript has 19 exons. The record is from RefSeq and is a predicted model, not a curated record.
UCGCAAUAAUACAGUUGGUGGCGGUAAUGCACCAUAGUGGAUGCCAACCGCCAAUAAAUCGGAAAGAAGAAGAAGAACAAACGCCUGCUCUUUGCACCGGAAGUAGUUUUUCCAUCAACUCUCUGCGUCGAUAACUGACCAAACGUCACCGCGAUAAUGCGAGGGUUUUAAUGGACGGUCACUGCCUGUUUCUCUCUUGUGUUUUAAAUUACUUCCAGAAAGAGCAUUUCUGACCGAUGAAUUUAGCACGAGCCAUUCCAGGCCUUUUGUUCUGCAUCUUUUUCGUGGGAUCUUGUUUCACAAAUAAGUAUGUAUUGUCUAUAUUGAAGUUUACAUACCCCACCCUUUUCCAGGGGUGGCAAACCUGCUUUGGAGCUCUUCUGCUGUGGGUGAUGGGGAAACUGGGAUGGGUGGAGAUAAAUAGUUUUCCCAGAUCUGCAGCAGUGUCCUGGCUUCCAGGAUCAGUCCUCUUUUUGGGGAAUAUAUAUGGUGGAUCCAAAGCCUUGUCCAUCCUGCCUAUCCCGUUCUUUUUCGUGUUGCAAAAUGUGUCAGAAGUGGUCUUUUCUCUUCUUGUUAGAGUCACUCAAAAAGAGAGAUCAUCAUGGAUGAAGACCUUCAGUGAAAACCUGAUGCUGAUGUCAGCUAUUACUCUUGCACUUCAAAAUCGUCAGUUUGGGCUAAAUGGUUAUGUCUGGGCUGUCAUCCACUUUUGCUGUGUUGGGUCAUACAAAGUGUUCCAGAGGACUUCAAAGUCUAGCCAUCUGAGUGACCUUGAACAACAGUUAAUCAACUACGUGGUCAGCAUCGUGCUUUUGGCUAUUGCAGCACAUCCAACAGGUGAUCUUUUUGGUGCUCUGGAUUUUCCCUUCCGUAAGUCCUACAAGUUCUACAGUGGAUGCUUUGCCAGUGCUAUACUUGCCUUUUUUCUGGUGCUAGCAUCAGUAAAGUUGAAGAGUGGACUUUCUUUGGUGCACUGUGCAGCUUGGCUGUUUCUGGCCAAGAUACUGGCUUCUGGUAUGUCCGUUUUUAUAUUCAGCACAGAACUCGGACCCGUAACAUUAUGCUGCAUCCUUACAAACCAUGCUGGUUUACCGUCCAAACGAGAUCACAUGGGAUUAACUUUCACAGGUUUCCCAAAAAUAAAGCCAUGAAAAAGCAGUGGGAGACAGCUGUGCGACGGGAAGGGUUUUCUGCUACUCCGUCAUCCAUGCUCUGCAGUGAACACUUCAGAACGGAGGAUUUUGACAGAACAGGUCAGACAGUCAGGAUCAGAGAGGGAGCUGUUCCUUCAGUCUUCAGUUUCCCAGCUCAUCUCCACCAGAAGGAGAGAAACCAAUUGGAGAUUAUACUGAGAGUGCUAAGAACAGGUCUGUUGCUUGUGUGGUAAUUGUUCACAAGAAAGCUGAAUGAAGAAAACUUCCUGGCCACGCGUGCAAAGAAUGUGAGAUUGUAAGUAAGGUCUUGUUCAUCAAAAUAUAUAUUCUCUGACACUGCACCAAAUGCAGUCUCCUCCGAAAGUAUUAAACCGGCAAGGCCUGUUCUUUUGCUUUUGUUGUAUACUGAAGACAUUUGGGUUUGGGAUCAAAACAACAUGAAUGAAAGAUCAUGUCAGCAGUACCACGACCACUACGAAAACCACAACGAGACUCAGGGUACACUCUUCCGGUUACAUCAUUAAUCAAUCAAUUCUGGCUAAGAUCUUUCCUACUAUAGAGAGUAAUGAUAUGCCACGGUGAUUGUCACACUGGGAUUGGCUUCCUUUGUGCUUGUAGAGAUGGAUGAUGGACGCAUCAUUCAGGUCUUGGGCCACUUGACCCUUCCUCCAGAAGGCACCAAAUAACUUGAUUAGUCCCAUUGCCAUGUGUGCACCUCCACACUUGUACACCUCUAAAGGGAUUCCGUCAGGACCAGGCACCUUUCUGCUUGACAGCUGCUUGAUAGCUUUUGCAACCUCUGCAUGACUUGACUCUGCACUGAGCUGUUCCAGAAUAGGAAGCUGUGGUGUGUCCUCUAGUGCAUUGUUGAUUGCUUGUUCAACAGCACAUUGAAGUGUUCUGCUCCUCCUGCCAGUAUUUCAUCCUUGUCAGUUAGAAGUGUGUUACCAUCAGCUGCUAGAAUGGGGGUGGAUCCAUUGGCACGUGGACCAUAAACAGCUUUAAGACCAUCAAAGAGGGCUCAUGUUAUGUUUGUUGGCCGCAUCCUGCAAUUCAGUGUUUUUUUUUUCUUCCUGCCGUCUGUUUUUCAUUGCUCUGAGGCACUUUUGGGCCAAGCAUUUUUGUUCCAAAUAGGUAUUUCUUUUAGAAGAGGAUGAUUUGUCUCCUAUGUACUUGCAUGGCAUCUACAGUGGUGCUUAAAAGUUUGUGAACCCUUUAGAAUUUUUUAUAUUUCUGCAUAAAUAUGACCUAAAACAUCAGAUUUUCACACAAGUCCUAAAAGUAGAUAAAGAGAACCCAGUUAAACAAAUGAGACAAAAAUAUUAUACUUGGUCAUUUAUUUAUUGAGGAAAAUGAUCCAAUAUUACAUAUCUGUGAGUGGCAAAAGUAUGUGAACCUUUGCUUUCAGUAUCUGGUGUGCAGCAAUAACUGCAACUAAACAUUUGUGGUAACUGUUGAUCAGUCCUGCACACCGGCUUGGAGGAAUUUUAGCCCAUUCCUCCUUACAGAACAGCUUCAACUCUGGGAUGUUAGUGGGUUUCCUCACAUGAACUGGUCCUUCCACAACAUUUUGAUUGGAUUAAGGUCAGGACUUUGACUUGGCCAUUCCAAAACAUUAACUUUAUUCUUCUUUAACCAUUCUUUGGUAGAAUGACUUGUGUGCUUAGGGUCAUUGUCUUGCUGCAUGACCAUCCUUCUCUUGAGAUUCAGUUCAUGGACAGAUGUCCUGGCAUUUUCCUUUAGAAUUCACAUAAUUCAGAAUUUGGACAGAUGUCCUGGCAUUUUCCUUUAGAAUUCACAUAAUUCAGAAUUCAUUGUUCCAUCAAUGAUGGCAAGCCGUCCUGGCCCAGAUGCAGCAAAACAGGCCCAAACCAUGAUACUACCACCACCAUGUUUCACAGAUGGGAUAAGGUUCUUAUGUUGGAAUGCAGUGUUUUCCUUUCUCCAAACAUAACGCUUCUCAUUUAAACCAAAAAGUUUUAUUUUGGUCUCAUCCCUCCACAAAACAUUUUUCCAAUAGCCUUCUGGCUUGUCCAUGUGAUCUGUAGCAAACGGCAGACGAGCAGCAAUGUUCUUUUUGGAGAGCAGUGGCUUUCUCCUUGCAACCCUGCCAUGCACACCAUUGUUGUUCAGUGUUCUCCUGAUGGUGGACUCAUGAACAUUAAUGUUAGCCAAUGUGAGAGAGGCCUUCAGUUGUUCAGAAGUUACCCUGCGGUCCUUUGUGACCUCGCUGACUAUUACACGCCUUGCUCUUGGAGUGAUCUUUAUUGGUCGACCACUCCUGGGGAGGGUAACAAUGGUCUUGAAUUUCCUCCAUUUGUACACAAUCUGUCUGACUGUGGAUUGGUGGAGUCCAAACUCUUUAGAGACUGUUUGUAUGGGAGAAAAACCACGGCCAUUUUAAAGCUGAGAAAAGAGGAAAAUUGAUCAGAGCCAUAGCAUAAGCACUGGGCAUAGCACAUAAUUUGGAUUGUCCUGAAAAACAAACUGCUGGUGUACUAACAAUCAAAUAUUGAACAGGUGAACCAAAGAAAACAGCAGUAGUUUCUGGCAAACAUUGUGAGAGCUGUGAAGAAAAACCCAAAGAUCAGAUUGGCCACAAAGGUUCUAAUACCAAUAUGAACCUCUACCAGAGUGAUGGAAGACCAAAGUGUGGAGAAAGAAAGGAUCUGCUCAUGAUCCAAAACAUACAAACUCACUCACUGGGAAAGUAUGGUGAAGGUAGUGUCAUGGCUUGGGCUUGCAUGGCUGCUUCUGGAUUGGGCUCACAAAUCUUUAUUGAUGGUAGCAGCAGAAUUAAUUCAGUCUACAGAAAUAUUGUCUGCCAAUUUAGAGAAAUCUAUCCAAUUUAAUUGGGAAAAACUUCAUCAUGCAGCAAGACAAUGACCCAAAACACACUGCCAGCACAACAAAAGACUUCACACAGAUUUAAUACUUGUCAUUUUUAGGGCAUACCUAACAACGUGUUUUCUUUCUCUCCCCCCCGCCCCCCCAUCUGUCCCUCUGAGUUACAUAUUGAUCCUGGGAUUGAGAUGCUGGCCUCUUCUGCCCCUCGGACCUGCUUGAUCCAUCCUGGUGCCCUGUGUCUGGUCGGAGUUUUAUCGCCCCACUCCUGUGAAGGACGGCCCCAUGAGGACAGUUGAGGGUUAUACCUGUUAAAACUGUUAAUAUUAUAGUCAGGCUGUCUGUUGUUGCCCAAAUGAGGAUGGGUUCCCUUUUGAGUCUGGUUCCUCUCGAGGUUUCUUCCUCAUGUCGUCUGAGGGAGUUUUUCCUUGCCACCGUCGCCACAGGCUUGCUCAUUGGGGAUAGAUUAGGGAUAAAAUUAGCUCAUGUUUUAAGUCGUUCAAAUUCUGUAAAGCUGCUUUGCGACAAUGUUUAUUGUUAAAAGCGCUGUACAAAUAAACUUGAUUUGAUUUGAUUUGAUUCAUCAAGGUAAAAAGUGGAAAAUUUUUUAGAUUGGCCAACUCAAGUCACCAGACCUUACCCUGAUUGAGCAUAUGUUUCACCUCAUGAAAAGGAGACUGAAGGAAGAAAAACAAAAACAAUGACUAAAAUAAGCUGUACUACAAGCCUGGAAAAGCAUCACAAAAUGAGAAUGCAACGGUUUAGUGAUGUCAGUGGGUCACCAGCUUGAUUCAGUUAUUGCAACCAAGGAAUAAGCAACAAAAUAUUAAGUGUUACUUACUUUAUUGGGGCGGCACAGUGGUGUAGUGGUUAGCGCUAUCACCUCACAGCAAGAAGGUCCGGGUUCAAGCCCUGUGGCCGGCGAGGGCCUUUCUGUGCAGAGUUUGCAUGUUCUCCCCAUGUCUGCGUGGGUUUCCUCCGGGUGCUUCAGUUUCCCCCACAGUCCAAAGACAUGCAGGUUAGGUUAACUGGUGACUCUAAAUUGACCGUAGGUGUGAAUGGUUGUCUGUGUCAGCCCUGUGAUGACCUGGCGACUUGUCCAGGGUGUACCCCCGCCUUUCACCUGUAGUCAGCUGGGAUAGGCUCCAGCUUGCCUGCGACCCUGUAGAACAGGAUAAAGCGGCUAGAGAUGAGAUGAGAUGAAUGAGACAACACACACACCUAAAAAUGAGUGGUCUGCCACUCAAGGUGUCAUGUUGUUCAAAACAACUAGAUGUACAUAUCAGGAAAUAAAAGCUGAAAUUCUGAACUCUGAGUUCUAUCUAGUUCUUGAUGUUGUACAGUCCUUUGCUUAGCUGUUUGCUGCUUUAUGAAUGAAUAAAUGCUCUAUAAAUGAAUAAAUUUGAUUUGAGUUGACAUCUCAUUUUUUUGGACAGACUGCUGCUUUGGCUACAACCCCCUCUCUCAUGUGGUACACUCCCUAACCACUCAGCUAUCAGGUCGGCCCCCCCCGGGUGGCAUUUCUGUGGAAAUGAAUAACUGACUCCUUUCCAGUUCUACUGAUCGACAAACAAACCUUGACAAAAGUAAACAACAACCAGCGGCUGGACGAUAAUGUAUGGCUGUACAUGCCAUCGCUGGUCAGAUUCGACAGGGACUGACAUUGUUUUUGCACAAGUACACACCAACUCCACAUUAAUCUUAGUGACCUCCAGUUGGCAUAACUGGGUGUCAAUACUGCCGACGUGAAUAACAAUCGUAUUGCAUUUAUGCUUAUCCUUAGCCUGUAAUUUCAAAUUUCACCCAACAUCACUUGCUCUGGCCCCAGAGAACAUUUGACUAUGGUCGCUGAGGUCACUAACUUCAGGUUUCUCAGACUAGAGUUGCCAAUGAGAGAGUUUGUUUCUCAGCAUGUGUGUUGUGUGGAGAACCUGUUAGAAAUGUGAACAGAUAGGUGGUGAACUGUGGGCUUUUGCUCAAGACUAUGCUUCUUAUUGAAAAAAAAAAUAAGCCUAUAAUAGUGAUGCAUGAUUGGUAAUGCUUCCUUGGACCACUUUUGAAUGCCAAAGACCAGAAGUUUUUCCUCCCGUACAAAGACUGCAAGCGGAGGCCAUCCACAUCGAAUCUGCUUUAAUCAGAUCUUUUUGACAGAUCUUCGAUUAAGGUACGUAAAUCCAUUCAUCAUGGCACAACUUCAGCUUGUUCAGUGUAGGAUGUUUAGUCAUUCUUUUUCCAUCAUUAGUAAUGGCUUUAUUUGUGAUAAGUGUAGCUCAGUUAGUGCUCCGACAGACAAAAUUACAGCUUUAGAGGUGUGUAUCCAGACUCGAGAGAGGGUGAGUGAGAACAAGAACAGUGUAGUUUCUGUAGGGGAAAGUCUGGAUGUCCUAGGUGGAGUUAGUAAUCCCCCAACUCUGGCAUUAGUGCCCUCACAGUGGGGUGAAUGGGUGACAACUCGGCGAGAUAAUCACAGAGCCAAGGCUACCGCUGAGGCUCGCCCAUGGGAGCGCCACUCUUCUCCACUUCAUGUGUCAAACAGGGUCACUCUCCUCAGUGAUGCACCUGCUGAGAAACCUGAAAAAGCUCUGGUUAUAGGCGAGUCUAUCAUACGGCACAUGAAAUUAACUAGGCCUUUAGGGGCACCAGCAGCUUUAGUUAGGUAUAUACCAGGAGCCAGGGCGCCGGACAUAGCAUCUUAGGGUCCUAGGCAAGCACAGGUUCUCAAAGAUAGUUAUCCACGUAGGAGCUAACGAUACACGCCUUCACCAAUCUGAGGUUACUAAGAGUAACUUUGGAGAGGUGUUUAAAUUAGCGAAGGCAAUGUCUGAUGCUGUAGUAUGCUCUGGCCCCAUCCCAACACAGCAUGCUGCUUACAGCAGGUUAUGUUCGUUGAACUGCUGGUUGUCCGGGUGGUGCUCUGAAAACAAUGUGGGUUUUAUAGGUAAUUGGACUAAUUUUGAGGGCACUGCUGGCCUGUUAGGGCAGAACGGUAUCCAUCCCACUUGGGAAGGUGCUGUUCUCAUUUCUUGCAGCAUCGCUCAUCGUCUCAAAACAGGCCUAGUUAAUGUAUAACGAUUAAGAGCCAAGGCCAGGGAGCAGAUGAACAGGCUAAACUGACUGUCUGCUAGCUGCACAGUCGUCACUCAGGUUCUAUUAUAUCAAGACUGUGUCUGUUCCCCAAGCUAAACAAAAAAGUAAAAAAUGUUGAGUGUGUUCUAGUAACCUAAUUAAUAUAAAAUUAGAUCAUACUGACUGUACAGCCACUGCCAGCACCUUUGAUCUAAAGGUAGAACUAUUAAAUAUUAGCUUUCUUGCAUCUAAAGCACUAAUUGUUAAUGAACUUAUUAC